Podarcis lilfordi (Lilford's wall lizard) is the source of this 78-nucleotide non-coding RNA. The record is from the annotation of a GenBank genome assembly. Lineage: Eukaryota; Metazoa; Chordata; Lepidosauria; Squamata; Lacertidae.
AUAUAUAUAGUGUGUGUGUGUGUGUGUGUGUAUGUAUACACACACACACACACACACACACACACACGGUGAGUCUUU